UGCGGUAACACGUACUGGAGGUCCGAACCCACUAACGUUGAAAAGUUAGGGGAUGAGCUGUGGAUAGGGGUGAAAGGCUAAACAAACUUGGAAAUAGCUGGUUCUCUCCGAAAACUAUUUAGGUAGUGCCUCAAGUAUUACCUGCGGGGGUAGAGCACUGUUUAGGCUAGGGGGUCAUGGCGACUUACCAAACCUAUGCAAACUCCGAAUACCGCAGAGUACAGCUUGGGAGACAGAGCACCGGGUGCUAACGUCCGGACUCAAGAGGGAAACAACCCAGACCGCCAGCUAAGGUCCCUAAAAUUGGCUAAGUGGGAAACGAAGUGGGAAGGCUAAAACAGUCAGGAUGUUGGCUUAGAAGCAGCCAUCAUUUAAAGAAAGCGUAAUAGCUCACUGAUCGAGUCGUCCUGCGCGGAAGAUGUAACGGGGCUAAGCCAGUUACCGAAGCUGCGGAUUUGCAAUUU
Molecule: ribosomal RNA, 464 nt
Filed under: Anophryoides haemophila
Lineage: Eukaryota; Ciliophora; Oligohymenophorea; Philasterida; Glauconematidae
Description: partial Bacterial large subunit ribosomal RNA
Rfam family: Bacterial large subunit ribosomal RNA
Source: RNAcentral